AUACUCACUUCCGCAGCACAUAUACUAAAAUUGGAAUGAUCCAGAGAAGAUUAGCAUGGUCCCUGUGCAAUGUUUGACACACAAAUUCCAUAUUUUU
Small nuclear RNA from Cricetulus griseus (Chinese hamster), 97 nucleotides. The record is from Ensembl. Lineage: Eukaryota; Metazoa; Chordata; Mammalia; Rodentia; Cricetidae.